AUGGGCCCGCGGCGCAUUAGCUAGUUGGUGGGGUAAAGGCUUACCAAGGCAAUGAUGCGUAGCCGAACUGAGAGGUUGAUCGGCCACAUUGGGACUGAGACACGGCCCAAACUCCUACGGGAGGCAGCAGUAGGGAAUCUUCCACAAUGGGCGAAAGCCUGAUGGAGCAACGCCGCGUGGGUGAAGAAGGUCUUCGGAUCGUAAAACCCUGUUGUUAGAGAAGAAAGUGCGUGAGAGUAACUGUUCACGUUUCGACGGUAUCUAACCAGAAAGCCACGGCUAACUACGUGCCAGCAGCCGCGGUAAUACGUAGGUGGCAAGCGUUAUCCGGAUUUAUUGGGCGUAAAGGGAACGCAGGCGGUCUUUUAAGUCUGAUGUGAAAGCCUUCGGCUUAACCGGAGUAGUGCAUUGGAAACUGGGAGACUUGAGUGCAGAAGAGGAGAGUGGAACUCCAUGUGUAGCGGUGAAAUGCGUAGAUAUAUGGAAGAACACCAGUGGCGAAAGCGGCUCUCUGGUCUGUAACUGACGCUGAGGUUCGAAAGCGUGGGUAGCAAACAGGAUUAGAUACCCUGGUAGUCCACGCCGUAAACGAUGAAUGCUAAGUGUUGGAGGGUUUCCGCCCUUCA
This 626-nucleotide ribosomal RNA is filed under the name uncultured bacterium. Its description in RNAcentral is "bacterial SSU rRNA". It matches the Rfam family "Bacterial small subunit ribosomal RNA", at positions 225 to 842 of the family's 1533-position model. The record is from RNAcentral.